UACGUAGGGCGCGAGCGUUGUCCGGAAUUAUUGGGCGUAAAGAGCUCGUAGGUGGUUUGUUGCGUCUGUUGUGAAAGCCCGGGGCUUAACUCCGGGUUUGCAGUGGAUACGGGCAGGCUAGAGGCAGGUAGGGGAGAACGGAAUUCCCGGUGUAGCGGUGAAAUGCGCAGAUAUCGGGAGGAACACCGGUGGCGAAGGCGGUUCUCUGGGCCUGUACUGACGCUGAGGAGCGAAAGCGUGGGGAGCGAACAGG
RNAcentral lists this ribosomal RNA (253 nucleotides) under uncultured bacterium. RNAcentral describes it as "partial 16S ribosomal RNA". It matches the Rfam family "Bacterial small subunit ribosomal RNA", at positions 524 to 776 of the family's 1533-position model. The record is from RNAcentral.